RNAcentral lists this unclassified non-coding RNA (343 nucleotides) under soil metagenome. RNAcentral's name for it is "partial contains 5.8S ribosomal RNA, internal transcribed spacer 2, and large subunit ribosomal RNA". The stretch from base 1 to 120 matches the Rfam family "5.8S ribosomal RNA", at positions 35 to 154 of the family's 154-position model. The record is from RNAcentral.
GAUGAAGAACGCAUUGAAAUGCGAUAAGUAAUGUGAAUUGCAGAAUUCAGUGAAUCAUCGAAUCUUUGAACGCACAUUGCGCCCGCUAGUAUUCUGGCGGGCAUGCCUGUCCGAGCGUCAUUUCAACCCUCAAGCCCCCGGGCUUGGUGUUGGGGAUCGGCGAGCCUCCGCGCCCGCCGUCCCCUAAAUCUAGUGGCGGUCUCGCUGUAGCUUCCUCUGCGUAGUAGCACACCUCGCACUGGGAAACAGCGCGGCCACGCCGUUAAACCCCCAACUUCUGAACGUUUGACCUCGGAUCAGGUAGGAAUACCCGCUGAACUUAAGCAUAUCAAUAAGCGGAGGA